Molecule: long non-coding RNA, 521 nt
Organism: Rhagoletis zephyria (snowberry fruit fly)
Lineage: Eukaryota; Metazoa; Arthropoda; Insecta; Diptera; Tephritidae
Source: RefSeq, a predicted model, not a curated record
GGCCACAGAUGGCCUAUUGGCUGUCGCACGAGAUGGAAGAGAGUUGGUGAUUGAAAAUGAUUUUCAUGUAAAAAUUUCAAUAGACUCUCUUCGCCUAUCUAGUGGAUUCCUAUACACCCAGGAUUCUUGCUCUAGGAAAUCUUAGUUUGGCUCAACUUACGACUUCUUCACCUUCUGUUUUUGGGAAACCAUAAUCAUCAUGAUGCUUUUCCGGGUCUGAUGUUUCCGUUUGCCAAAAACUUGUACUCGCCAGAGCUUCUUCAGCCUUUUAGUUUCAUUAUUCUACUCAAUAUACCUACAUACAUAUGUCAAUCUAAUGCUGCCGAAGUAAGUUACUAUGGAACUCAGCCAAUUUGCACUGAUCAGUUAUUGGAAAAAGAUUGUCAGAAGGAAACAUGGCUGUGUUUUAAAUAUGAUACUUUAUUUUAUUUAAAUGUGCGGUUGAAUUUUUAAUACAUAAAUUUUUGGAAGUACUUAGGUUCUAAGUAAAUCAAAAAUAUAUAAAUUUUAAAUAUAUCUAA